This 494-nucleotide ribosomal RNA is filed under the name uncultured bacterium. RNAcentral describes it as "partial 16S ribosomal RNA". It matches the Rfam family "Bacterial small subunit ribosomal RNA", at positions 28 to 507 of the family's 1533-position model. The record is from RNAcentral.
GACGAACGCUGGCGGCGUGCUUAACACAUGCAAGUCGAACGGUGAAGCGCCUUCCUUUUUGGUGGGUGUGGAUGAGUGGCGAACGGGUGAGUAACACGUGAGUAACCUGCCCCCUUCUUCUGGAUAACCGCAUGAAAGUGUGGCUAAUACGGGAUAUUCUGGGUCUGUCGCAUGAUGGGUCUGGGAAAGAUAUUGUUUCGGUGGGGGAUGGGCUCGCGGCCUAUCAGCUUGUUGGUGGGGUGAUGGCCUACCAAGGCGGUGACGGGUAGCCGGCCUGAGAGGGUGGACGGUCACACUGGGACUGAGACACGGCCCAGACUCCUACGGGAGGCAGCAGUGGGGAAUAAUGCACAAUGGGCGCAAGCCUGAUGCAGCGACGCCGCGUGAGGGAUGGAGGCCUUCGGGUUGUGAACCUCUUUCGCCAGUGAAGCAGGCCUGCCUCGUUUGUGGGUGGGUUGACGGUAGCUGGAGAAGAAGCGCCGGCUAACUACGUG